GUCCAGACUCCUACGGGAGGCAGCAGUGGGGAAUAUUGCACAAUGGGGGAAACCCUGAUGCAGCGACGCCGCGUGAGUGAAGAAGUAUUUCGGUAUGUAAAGCUCUAUCAGCAGGGAAGAAAAUGACGGUACCUGACUAAGAAGCCCCGGCUAACUACGUGCCAGCAGCCGCGGUAAUACGUAGGGGGCAAGCGUUAUCCGGAUUUACUGGGUGUAAAGGGAGCGUAGACGGCAUGGCAAGUCAGAUGUGAAAGCCCGGGGCUCAACCCCGGGACUGCAUUUGAAACUGUCAGGCUGGAGUGCAGGAGAGGUAAGUGGAAUUCCUAGUGUAGCGGUGAAAUGCGUAGAUAUUAGGAGGAACACCAGUGGCGAAGGCGGCUUACUGGACUGUAACUGACGUUGAGGCUCGAAAGCGUGGGGAGCAAACAGGAUUAGAUACCCCAGUACG
This 448-nucleotide ribosomal RNA is filed under the name uncultured bacterium. Its description in RNAcentral is "bacterial SSU rRNA". It matches the Rfam family "Bacterial small subunit ribosomal RNA", at positions 329 to 793 of the family's 1533-position model. The record is from RNAcentral.